Molecule: ribosomal RNA, 447 nt
Filed under: uncultured bacterium
Lineage: Bacteria
Description: SSU rRNA
Rfam family: Bacterial small subunit ribosomal RNA
Source: RNAcentral
AGAACGAACGCUGGCGGCAGGCCUAACACAUGCAAGUCGAACGGAUGUAGCAAUACAUUAGUGGCGCACGGGAGAGUAACGCGUGGGAACCUACCUUUUGGUUUGGGAUAACGUCGGGAAACUGACGCUAAUACCAGAUAAGCCCUUCGGGGGAAAGAUUUAUCGCCGAUUGAUGGGCCCGCGUAAGAUUAGCUAGUUGGUGAGGUAAUGGCUCACCAAGGCUACGAUCUUUAGCUGGUCUGAGAGGAUGAUCAGCCUCACUGGGACUGAGACACGGCCCAGACUCCUACGGGAGGCAGCAGUGGGGAAUAUUGGACAAUGGGGGCAACCCUGAUCCAGCCAUGCCGCGUGAAUGAUGAAGGCCUUCGGGUUGUAAAGUUCUUUUGGCGGGACGAUGAUGACGGUACCCGCAGAAUAAGCUCCGGCUAACUUCGUGCCAGCAGCCGC